Molecule: long non-coding RNA, 544 nt
Filed under: Mytilus galloprovincialis (Mediterranean mussel)
Lineage: Eukaryota; Metazoa; Mollusca; Bivalvia; Mytilida; Mytilidae
Source: RNAcentral
CAGCAAAUUAAGAUCUACAAAUAAGUCAACAUGACCAAAAUUGUCAGAGAACCCCUUAAGGAGUUAUUGUCCUUUAUAGUCAAUAUUGAACAACUUUUUGUCAUUUUUGUAACUUGUACAAAAAUCUUCUUUUCUAAAACUAUGGGUCAAAUUUAACCAAACUUGGCCACAAUCAUUACUAGGGUAUCUAUUUUAAAAAAGUGUCUAAUGACCCCGCCUACCAACCGAGAUGGCUGACAUCAGUAAAUACAGUAACAGGUGAGCGACACAGGCUCUUGAGAGCCUCUAGUUUUUAAUCUAAAGACUUUCAUUAUCAAAAUUAUAAAAAGGUGAGGUAUAUAUGUAGGACUCUAAAGUGCGAUGGGGACGCUAAAAUGUGAUGGUCACGCUAAAGUGCGAUGGCCUACGCUAAAGUACGAUGGUUUGAUACACUAAUGUGCGUUUUUCUGCAAAUACAUCGACGUUAUAAACGUUUGAAAGCAUUAUGACGAGAAUGUUUGUCCAGAUUAAGGAUUUUUAUUACACGAGAAAAAAAAACAAGAGA